UACGGGGGGUGCAAGCGUUAUCCGGAAUUAUUGGGCGUAAAGCGUUUGUAGGCGGGCGAGUGUGUUUAAUGUUAAAUCUUAAAGCUCAACUUUGAAAUUGCGCUAAAAACUGCUUGUCUUGAGUAUGGUAGGGGUAAAGGGAAUUCCCAGUGUAGCGGUGAAAUGCGUAGAUAUUGGGAAGAACACUAAACAGCGAAGGCACUUUACUAGGCUAAUACUGACGCUGAGAAACGAAAGGUAAGGUAGCGAAACGGAUUAGAUACCCGUGUAGUCUUACCCGUAAACUAUGGACACUAAACGGUAAAUUUUUAAUUUACUGUUAAAGCUAACGCGUUAAGUGUCCCGCCUGGGGAGUAUGCUUGCAAAAGUGAAACUCAAAGGAAUUGACGGGGGCCCGCACAAGCGGUGGAGCAUGUGGUUUAAUUCGACGGUACACGAAGAACCUUACCAGGAUUUGACAUGCUAGAUAGUUGCUUGAAAGAGUAACGUGCCGUAAGGAAUCUAGACACAGGUGGUGCAUGGCUGUCGUCAGUUCGUGUUGUGAAGUGUUGGGUUAAGUCCCGCAACGAACGCAACCCUUGUCUUUAGUUAUUUUCUAAAGAGACUGCCUGUAAUAAACAGGAGGAAGGUAAGGAUGAGGUCAAGUCAUCAUGCCCCUUAUGUCCUGGGCUACACACGUGCUACAAUGGGAAAGACAAUGAGCUGCAAAUCUGUAAAUUUAAGCAAAUCUCUUAAACUUUCUCGUAGUUCGGAUUGUGGGCUGCAACUCGCCCACAUGAAGUUGGAAUCGCUAGUAAUCGCCAGUCAGCUAUAUGGCGGUGAAUCCGUUCCCGGGCCU
Molecule: ribosomal RNA, 838 nt
Filed under: uncultured bacterium
Lineage: Bacteria
Description: bacterial SSU rRNA
Rfam family: Bacterial small subunit ribosomal RNA
Source: RNAcentral